UAGCCGUAUCGGAAGGUGCGGCUGGAUCACCUCCUUUCCAGAGCUAUCUCGCGAAGUUGAGCGCUCACGCUUAUCGGCUGUAAAUUAAAGACAGACUCAGGGGUCUGUAGCUCAGUCGGUUAGAGCACCGUCUUGAUAAGGCGGGGGUCGUUGGUUCGAAUCCAACCAGACCCACCACCGUCUUGUGGGCGGUACACACCUGAGGAAUUCUGUACAUGGGGGCAUAGCUCAGCUGGGAGAGCACCUGCUUUGCAAGCAGGGGGUCGUCGGUUCGAUCCCGUCUGCCUCCACCAAUCUUCAAUGACAAACAUUCGAAUGACGAUUGUUCGAGUCUUUGUCAUUGGCGAUUGAGCCAGUCAGAGUGAUACGUAAUAAGUAUCGGCUGUCGUUCUUUAACAAUCUGGAAGAAGUAAGUAAUUUGGAUAGCGGAAGCGUCUAUGAGAUGGACGUGAAAACUAUCCGGGUUGUGAUUGUAUCGAUGUAUCUCAAGAUGAUUCGAACUCUAUGUUUGACUCAAUUGGAAUACGGCACAACGCGAGAACUCAACCUGUAACGAGACAGACUCGUUAUAGGGUCAAGCGAACAAGUGCAUGUGGUG
RNAcentral lists this transfer RNA (598 nucleotides) under Burkholderia multivorans. Its description in RNAcentral is "partial contains 16S ribosomal RNA, 16S-23S ribosomal RNA intergenic spacer, and 23S ribosomal RNA; also has tRNA-Ile and tRNA-Ala". The stretch from base 101 to 174 matches the Rfam family "tRNA". The record is from RNAcentral. Lineage: Bacteria; Pseudomonadati; Pseudomonadota; Betaproteobacteria; Burkholderiales; Burkholderiaceae.